Molecule: ribosomal RNA, 253 nt
Filed under: uncultured bacterium
Lineage: Bacteria
Description: partial 16S ribosomal RNA
Rfam family: Bacterial small subunit ribosomal RNA
Source: RNAcentral
UACGAAGGGGGCUAGCGUUGCUCGGAAUCACUGGGCGUAAAGCGCACGUAGGCGGGUCCUUAAGUCAGGGGUGAAAUCCGGAGCUCAACUCCGGAACUGCCUUUGAUACUGGGGAUCUUGAGUCCGGAAGAGGUGAGUGGAACUCCGAGUGUAGAGGUGAAAAUUCGUAGAUAUUCGGAAGAACACCAGUGGCGAAGGCGGCUCACUGGUCCGGUACUGACGCUGAGGUGCGAAAGCGUGGGGAGCAAACAGG